Molecule: ribosomal RNA, 536 nt
Filed under: uncultured bacterium
Lineage: Bacteria
Description: bacterial SSU rRNA
Rfam family: Bacterial small subunit ribosomal RNA
Source: RNAcentral
UAGUCCACGCCCUAAACGAUGUUUACUCGAAGUAUGUGUUUGGCAUGUGCUUCCAAGGGAAACCGAUAAGUAAACCACCUGGGGAGUACGUCGGCAACGAUGAAACUCAAAGGAAUUGACGGGGGUCCGCACAAGCGGUGGAGUAUGUGGUUUAAUUCGAUGAUACGCGAGGGACCUUACCUAGGCUCGAACGCUAUUUGCCGAUUGAUGAAAGUCGAUUUUCCUUCGGGACGGAUAGUGAGGUGCUGCAUGGUUGUCGUCAGCUCGUGCCGUGAGGUGUUGGGUUAAGUCCCGCAACGAGCGCGACCCUUGUCCUUAGUUACCAGCGCGUUAUGGCGGGGACUCUAGGGAGACUGCCGGUGACAAACCGGAGGAAGGUGGGGACGACGUCAAGUCAUCAUGGCCCUUACGACCUGGGCUACACACGUGCUACAAUGGACAGUACAAAGGGUCGCGAAAGCGCGAGCCGGAGCUAAUCCCAUAAAACUGUUCGUAGUCCGGAUUGGAGUCUGCAACUCGACUCCAUGAAGUCGGAA